UACGGGGGGAGCAAGCGUUGUUCGGAUUUACUGGGCGUAAAGGGCGCGUAGGCGGUCGUGACAAGUCACUUGUGAAAUCCCCGGGCUUAACCUGGGAAUGGCAUUUGGGACUGCAAGGCUGGAGUUUGGCAGAGGAGACUGGAAUUCCUGGUGUAGCAGUGAAGUGCGUAGAUAUCAGGAGGAAUACCGAUGGCGAAGGCAGGUCUCUGGGCUAUAACUGACGCUCAUGCACGAAAGCGUGGGGAGCAAACAGG
This 254-nucleotide ribosomal RNA is filed under the name uncultured bacterium. Its description in RNAcentral is "partial 16S ribosomal RNA". It matches the Rfam family "Bacterial small subunit ribosomal RNA", at positions 524 to 776 of the family's 1533-position model. The record is from RNAcentral.